AGAGUUUGAUCAUGGCUCAGGACGAACGCUGGCGGCGCGCUAAGACAUGCAAGUCGAGCGGGGCGUCUUUUGGCGCCUAGCGGCGGACGGGUGAGUAACACGUGGAUAACCUGCCUGGUCAUCCGGGAUAACAGGCCGAAAGGCCUGCUAAUACCGGAUAAGCUCACGAAGCCGCAUGGCUUUGGGAGAAAAGGUCCUGGUGAGGGACUGUGACCAGAGGGGUCCGCGGCCCAUUAGCUAGUUGGUGAGGUAAUGGCUCACCAAGGCGACGAUGGGUAGCCGGCCUGAGAGGGUGACCGGCCACACUGGGACUGAGACACGGCCCAGACUCCUACGGGAGGCAGCAGUCGGGAAUCUUGCACAAUGGGCGAAAGCCUGAUGCAGCGACGCCGCGUGAGCGAAGAAGGCCUUCGGGUCGUAAAGCUCUGUUGUCUGCGACGAAGGGCCUGGUCAGGAAAUGGGCCAGGCGUGACGGUAGCAGACGAGGAAGCCCCGGCCAACUACGUGCCAGCAGCCGCGGUAAUACGUAGGGGGCGAGCGUUGUCCGGAAUUACUGGGCGUAAAGGGCGUGUAGGCGGCCUGUCAAGUCAGGGGUGAAAGCCCGGGGCUCAACUCCGGGUGUGCCUUUGAGACUGAUGGGCUUGAGUGCUCCAGAGGGCAGUGGAAUUCCCGGUGUAGCGGUGAAAUGCGUAGAGAUCGGGAGGAACACCAGUGGCGAAAGCGGCUGCCUGGGGAGCGACUGACGCUGAGGCGCGAAAGCUGGGGGAGCAAACAGGAUUAGAUACCCUGGUAGUCCCAGCCGUAAACGAUGAGUGCUAGGUGUGAGGGGUAUCGACCCCCCUCGUGCCGUAGCUAACGCAAUAAGCACUCCGCCUGGGGAGUACGGCCGCAAGGUUGAAACUCAAAUGAAUUGACGG
This 917-nucleotide ribosomal RNA is filed under the name uncultured bacterium. Its description in RNAcentral is "bacterial SSU rRNA". It matches the Rfam family "Bacterial small subunit ribosomal RNA", at positions 8 to 916 of the family's 1533-position model. The record is from RNAcentral.